AGCCCAGAGGAGCGCGCCGGAGCUGCCCCGGGACACGCGCGGCUGUCUGGGGGGUACUGAGCAUCCGCGGCUCUGCCAAGACGCGGCUGCCUUCGUAACUGACUCACCGUUACCGGAAGACAAACGACCCUGGCCCACGCUCUGACAUGGAAAGCUCCAAUAUGGAAGAGCAUCUGGAAGAUAAUAUCUCUGUCCAAUAAGACAUCUAAAAACACUUCAGAUGAAGUCUUAAACAGAAAUAAAUAGGCGGAGAAAAAAGAUGUGAAAGUCAAAUAAAAAGCCCAAAACCAGUCUGGUUGGUGAGGAGAGAAAUUAAUACACCAGCACAUGUAGUCUCCAACAAUGAAAAUAUGGUAAAAUUGCUCCCUUUCCACUAGCCGGCUUGGCAUUGUGUAAGGGGCUCCGCAUCCUUAUCAGAGAGUGCACAGAAGGAGUGGCGUAGAGCUGGAAAGAAGAAAAGGUCUCGAUUCUACAAGUGGAACAAGGGAAAAGGAACAUUAAUGGAAUGACUUGUAAGGGAAACUGUGAUAUUAUCAGGAAAUUUGGCUAAUUACUAAGCAAGUUUGUGUACUCUGAGAAGUCCUACCAAGAUUUUGAAAGUAUUUACUUCAUAACGACAUGGCCAGAAUCCAAGGGCUGGGUUUAUAUUGAGUUUCCCCACCGUGAAGCAGAAGAGCCGGACAUCAGCCUUGACAUCGCUGCAGCAGACUUGACAUUCACGAGGUUUUCUUUCCAAGAUCUUCACUUAUAAAAACCAGGUCAGUCCUGUAGAGUAUCCCACAUUCUGGGCUUUUCAAUGCUUUCUUGUGGUGUCAUUUCAAUUGUUCUUCUCUCCCCUGUAUUUCC
Long non-coding RNA from Zalophus californianus (California sea lion), 846 nucleotides. RefSeq lists it as uncharacterized. The record is from RefSeq and is a predicted model, not a curated record. The transcript is spliced from 5 exons. NCBI's taxonomy places the organism in Eukaryota, Metazoa, Chordata, Mammalia, Carnivora, Otariidae.